Heterocephalus glaber (naked mole-rat) is the source of this 321-nucleotide non-coding RNA. The record is from Rfam. Lineage: Eukaryota; Metazoa; Chordata; Mammalia; Rodentia; Bathyergidae.
GAAUGUGAGGCCAAUCUGGCUAUGACAUCUGUCACCCUGUCGCCACAGUUGAUUCGGCUGAUCUGGCUGGCUAGGUGGGUGUCCCUUUCCUCCUUCACCACUUUAUGUGUGUCCCUCCUGGAGCUGCAUGCUCAGUGGAAGAGCACGACCACCCCUGAUAGAGGAAGAUCAUUUCCUUGGUCAAGCAUAUACAAGCGGCUAUACUCCCCUACUAGAACCUCCAAACAAGCUCUCAAGAAAAUAUGGCCACAUAGUGAAUGAAAUAAUUUAACUUUACAGAUCCUAAGCUGUCAAACGAUUACUAAAUCAGUGUAAUAUGUU